RNAcentral lists this ribosomal RNA (521 nucleotides) under uncultured bacterium. Its description in RNAcentral is "bacterial SSU rRNA". It matches the Rfam family "Archaeal small subunit ribosomal RNA", at positions 345 to 866 of the family's 1478-position model. The record is from RNAcentral.
AACCUCCGCAAUGUGAGAAAUCGCGACGGGGGGAUCCCAAGUGCCAUUCUUAACGGGAUGGCUUUUCAUUAGCGUAAAGAGCUUUUGGAAUAAGAGCUGGACAAGACCGGUGCCAGCCGCCGCGGUAACACCGGCAGCUCUAGUGGUAACAAUUUUUAUUGGGCCUAAAGCGUCCGUAGCCGGUUUAAUAAGUCUCUGGUGAAAUCCUGCAGCUUAACUGUGGGAAUUGCUGGAGAUACUAUUAGACUUGAGACCGGGAGAGGUUAGGGGUACUCCCAGGGUAGAGGUGAAAUUCUGUAAUCCUGGGAGGACCGCCUGUUGCGAAGGCGUCUAACUGGAACGGUUCUGACGGUGAGGGACGAAAGUUAGGGGCGCGAACCGGAUUAGAUACCCGGGUAGUCCUAACUGUAAACGAUGCGGACUUGGUGUUGGGGUGGCUUUGAGCUGCUUCAGUGCCGAAGGGAAGCUGUUAAGUCCGCCGCCUGGGAAGUACGGUCGCAAGACUGAAACUUAAAGGAAUU